CCUGCAGAGAGAGAGGGGGUCAAUACACAAAAGAUUCACCCACUCCUGACAGAAAGGAAAACAGGAGGUGAUCAUUUUCAGAAUAAGAGCGUGGCUGCAGGGACCAGGUUGAGUCUGAGGCCGGUGGGUCAGUACCUCCAGGUUCUGCAGGUAUCCCUCCUGCGGGUCGCACAGCAGCGAGGAGAUCCGGUGGUUCUGCCUCAUGCAGCGGCUGCUGCUCUCCCUCCACAGCGGGAAGAUCUGCCGGAUCACCGUCAUGCGCCCCAGUGCACUGUGGUAAGGAGCCGGAGCUGGAGAGCAGACGUCUGAAAGGUGAAACACGAUGUGAACGAGUCCGGCUCGUCCUGUCACAGAUGUGUGGAGAAACUCUCACUGAACAAAAACCAUCUUCAACAUCUGCGUCAGGAACGUUUCUCUUCUUUCGGCUAAAACCUUUCAGGUCUGAUAAAAUAUCAUUUCCCACGUAUGAUUUGUGAACUUGUUAACAACAACACGAACGAGUCGGACGUCUGAGCGGCUUCAUCAACCGUCUCCUCGUGAAGCCACGUCUCCAUCCGCUCGUUUCCUGUCACACGUAGAAACGUCUCUCUCCUGUCGCCGACAACCUAAUGUUCUUGUAAAUAUACGACGUUAAU
Molecule: long non-coding RNA, 635 nt
Organism: Scophthalmus maximus (turbot)
Lineage: Eukaryota; Metazoa; Chordata; Actinopteri; Pleuronectiformes; Scophthalmidae
Exons: 3
Source: RefSeq, a predicted model, not a curated record